RNAcentral lists this unclassified non-coding RNA (340 nucleotides) under Hevea brasiliensis (rubber tree). Lineage: Eukaryota; Viridiplantae; Streptophyta; Magnoliopsida; Malpighiales; Euphorbiaceae. The record is from RNAcentral.
UAAGGGAUAAUGUUGAUGUGAAAUGUAGUUGGUACGUGAGAUAAUAUUCAAUGAUUGUAGGACCCCAAGGGGAUUCUGGAGGAUGAUGUGUUGCCUGAUGGAACUAAAGUCAAAGCAGGAGGGAUGGUGACUUAUGUUCCCUAUUCAAUGGGCAGGAUGAAGUACAAGUAGGGACCUGAUGCAUUUCUUCCAGAAAGCAUCUCCUUUCAAGUUCACUGCAUUUCAGGUAAAAUACAAGAGAUUUUAACCCUUUCAAAACACUCAAUCAAUGGUCAGGCCCAAACAUUAUAUUAAGCCUUGAUCUUUUUAUGUCUUUCUAAUGUGGGAUGUACAGAUACUA